RNAcentral lists this ribosomal RNA (2553 nucleotides) under Shigella sonnei. Its description in RNAcentral is "partial 23S ribosomal RNA". It matches the Rfam family "Bacterial large subunit ribosomal RNA", at positions 404 to 2925 of the family's 2925-position model. The record is from RNAcentral. Lineage: Bacteria; Pseudomonadati; Pseudomonadota; Gammaproteobacteria; Enterobacterales; Enterobacteriaceae.
CUUGAUGAGUAGGGCGGGACACGUGGUAUCCUGUCUGAAUAUGGGGGGACCAUCCUCCAAGGCUAAAUACUCCUGACUGACCGAUAGUGAACCAGUACCGUGAGGGAAAGGCGAAAAGAACCCCGGCGAGGGGAGUGAAAAAGAACCUGAAACCGUGUACGUACAAGCAGUGGGAGCACGCUUAGGCGUGUGACUGCGUACCUUUUGUAUAAUGGGUCAGCGACUUAUAUUCUGUAGCAAGGUUAACCGAAUAGGGGAGCCGAAGGGAAACCGAGUCUUAACUGGGCGUUAAGUUGCAGGGUAUAGACCCGAAACCCGGUGAUCUAGCCAUGGGCAGGUUGAAGGUUGGGUAACACUAACUGGAGGACCGAACCGACUAAUGUUGAAAAAUUAGCGGAUGACUUGUGGCUGGGGGUGAAAGGCCAAUCAAACCGGGAGAUAGCUGGUUCUCCCCGAAAGCUAUUUAGGUAGCGCCUCGUGAAUUCAUCUCCGGGGGUAGAGCACUGUUUCGGCAAGGGGGUCAUCCCGACUUACCAACCCGAUGCAAACUGCGAAUACCGGAGAAUGUUAUCACGGGAGACACACGGCGGGUGCUAACGUCCGUCGUGAAGAGGGAAACAACCCAGACCGCCAGCUAAGGUCCCAAAGUCAUGGUUAAGUGGGAAACGAUGUGGGAAGGCCCAGACAGCCAGGAUGUUGGCUUAGAAGCAGCCAUCAUUUAAAGAAAGCGUAAUAGCUCACUGGUCGAGUCGGCCUGCGCGGAAGAUGUAACGGGGCUAAACCAUGCACCGAAGCUGCGGCAGCGACGCUUAUGCGUUGUUGGGUAGGGGAGCGUUCUGUAAGCCUGCGAAGGUGUGCUGUGAGGCAUGCUGGAGGUAUCAGAAGUGCGAAUGCUGACAUAAGUAACGAUAAAGCGGGUGAAAAGCCCGCUCGCCGGAAGACCAAGGGUUCCUGUCCAACGUUAAUCGGGGCAGGGUGAGUCGACCCCUAAGGCGAGGCCGAAAGGCGUAGUCGAUGGGAAACAGGUUAAUAUUCCUGUACUUGGUGUUACUGCGAAGGGGGGACGGAGAAGGCUAUGUUGGCCGGGCGACGGUUGUCCCGGUUUAAGCGUGUAGGCUGGUUUUCCAGGCAAAUCCGGAAAAUCAAGGCUGAGGCGUGAUGACGAGGCACUACGGUGCUGAAGCAACAAAUGCCCUGCUUCCAGGAAAAGCCUCUAAGCAUCAGGUAACAUCAAAUCGUACCCCAAACCGACACAGGUGGUCAGGUAGAGAAUACCAAGGCGCUUGAGAGAACUCGGGUGAAGGAACUAGGCAAAAUGGUGCCGUAACUUCGGGAGAAGGCACGCUGAUAUGUAGGUGAAGUCCCUUGCGGAUGGAGCUGAAAUCAGUCGAAGAUACCAGCUGGCUGCAACUGUUUAUUAAAAACACAGCACUGUGCAAACACGAAAGUGGACGUAUACGGUGUGACGCCUGCCCGGUGCCGGAAGGUUAAUUGAUGGGGUCAGCGCAAGCGAAGCUCUUGAUCGAAGCCCCGGUAAACGGCGGCCGUAACUAUAACGGUCCUAAGGUAGCGAAAUUCCUUGUCGGGUAAGUUCCGACCUGCACGAAUGGCGUAAUGAUGGCCAGGCUGUCUCCACCCGAGACUCAGUGAAAUUGAACUCGCUGUGAAGAUGCAGUGUACCCGCGGCAAGACGGAAAGACCCCGUGAACCUUUACUAUAGCUUGACACUGAACAUUGAGCCUUGAUGUGUAGGAUAGGUGGGAGGCUUUGAAGUGUGGACGCCAGUCUGCAUGGAGCCGGCCUUGAAAUACCACCCUUUAAUGUUUGAUGUUCUAACGUGGACCCGUGAUCCGGGUUGCGGACAGUGUCUGGUGGGUAGUUUGACUGGGGCGGUCUCCUCCUAAAGAGUAACGGAGGAGCACGAAGGUUGGCUAAUCCUGGUCGGACAUCAGGAGGUUAGUGCAAUGGCAUAAGCCAGCUUGACUGCGAGCGUGACGGCGCGAGCAGGUGCGAAAGCAGGUCAUAGUGAUCCGGUGGUUCUGAAUGGAAGGGCCAUCGCUCAACGGAUAAAAGGUACUCCGGGGAUAACAGGCUGAUACCGCCCAAGAGUUCAUAUCGACGGCGGUGUUUGGCACCUCGAUGUCGGCUCAUCACAUCCUGGGGCUGAAGUAGGUCCCAAGGGUAUGGCUGUUCGCCAUUUAAAGUGGUACGCGAGCUGGGUUUAGAACGUCGUGAGACAGUUCGGUCCCUAUCUGCCGUGGGCGCUGGAGAACUGAGGGGGGCUGCUCCUAGUACGAGAGGACCGGAGUGGACGCAUCACUGGUGUUCGGGUUGUCAUGCCAAUGGCACUGCCCGGUAGCUAAAUGCGGAAGAGAUAAGUGCUGAAAGCAUCUAAGCACGAAACUUGCCCCGAGAUGAGUUCUCCCUGACCCUUUAAGGGUCCUGAAGGAACGUUGAAGACGACGACGUUGAUAGGCCGGGUGUGUAAGCGCAGCGAUGCGUUGAGCUAACCGGUACUAAUGAACCGUGAGGCUUAACCUUACAACGCCGAAG